This 305-nucleotide ribosomal RNA is filed under the name uncultured bacterium. RNAcentral describes it as "partial 16S ribosomal RNA". It matches the Rfam family "Bacterial small subunit ribosomal RNA", at positions 505 to 807 of the family's 1533-position model. The record is from RNAcentral.
ACAGCAGCAGCCGCGGUAACACGGAGGGUGCAAGCGUUAUCCGGAUUUAUUGGGUUUAAAGGGUCCGUAGGCGGAUCUGUAAGUCAGUGGUGAAAUCUCACAGCUUAACUGUGAAACUGCCAUUGAUACUGCAGGUCUUGAGUAAAUUUGAAGUGGCUGGAAUAAGUAGUGUAGCGGUGAAAUGCAUAGAUAUUACUUAGAACACCAAUUGCGAAGGCAGGUCACUAAGAUUUAACUGACGCUGAUGGACGAAAGCGUGGGGAGCGAACAGGAUUAGAUACCCCUGUAGUCCCUGUCUCUUAUAC